Molecule: ribosomal RNA, 459 nt
Filed under: Capnocytophaga granulosa
Lineage: Bacteria; Pseudomonadati; Bacteroidota; Flavobacteriia; Flavobacteriales; Flavobacteriaceae
Description: bacterial SSU rRNA
Rfam family: Bacterial small subunit ribosomal RNA
Source: RNAcentral
GAUGAACGCUAGCGGCAGGCCUAACACAGCAAGUCGAGGGAGAAGCCCUUCGGGGCGGAAACCGGCGCACGGGUGCGUAACGCGUAUGCAACCUGCCUUUCACAGGGGGAUAGCCCGAAGAAAUUUGGAUUAAUACCCCAUAAUAUUAUUGGGUGGCAUCAUUUGAUAAUUAAAAUUACGAUGGUGAAAGAUGGGCAUGCGUCCUAUUAGCUAGUUGGAGUGGUAACGGCACCCCAAGGCUACGAUAGGUAGGGGUCCUGAGAGGGAGAUCCCCCACACUGGUACUGAGACAGGGACCAGACUCCUACGGGAGGCAGCAGUGAGGAAUAUUGGUCAAUGGUCGGAAGACUGAACCAGCCAUGCCGCGUGCAGGAAGAAUGCCUUAUGGGUUGUAAACUGCUUUUAUAUGGGAAGAAUAAGGUGUACGUGUACAUUGAUGACGGUACCAUAUGAAUAAGC